Mesocricetus auratus (golden hamster) is the source of this 1108-nucleotide long non-coding RNA. RefSeq lists it as uncharacterized. The record is from RefSeq and is a predicted model, not a curated record. The transcript has 3 exons. Lineage: Eukaryota; Metazoa; Chordata; Mammalia; Rodentia; Cricetidae.
UGAACGAGAGUAACCCCAGGGGCGGUGCUGACCGAGAGUAACCCUGGGAGAGCGAGCCUCACCCUCGCUGGGCGCCCGCGCCCCUGACCCGCCCGGGGCGGGCGAGAGGAGGCCAGGCUCUGAGGCUGACAUCCAACGCCCUCCCUAGAGUCUCCUGUACUCCAGGUUGACCUCAAACUCUUUUGAGCUUCUGAUCUUUUUACCUCUACCUCAUGAAAGCCGGGAGGACUAACACUUGCCACCAUUCUCAGUGGAGAUAACGUUGAAAACUGCCAAGAGAUAGGCAAGGUCGUGCUGGUCAAGCUGAUCACAGGCAAUCCCGACCUCAUCAGCCAAUUGUGCUGCGGCUGCCCAUCAGCGUAUGCUCCUGUCUCUUGCCUGUUGUGGUCUUCGGCAGCUUAUGGCACGUGUCAUGCUGUCAUUUCCUGCCAUCACCCUGUAGGUCUUUGAUCUGCUUUCCCCCCAGGAGACACAUCAUCGUUGAUCAUCUGCAGGUCUGUCCAGUCCCAUUCUUCAUUCCCUACACAUCAGCCUAGUGACGUCCAAGGGGACCAGUUGCGCCCUGCAGUUGUGUUUAUUACUUCUGUGUCACUGAAAUUCCCUCAGUCUGGUUCCUUUCCAUUCUGGGCGCUACUUCCCUACCUUGAGACUUCCCUGGGGUCUAACCUAUGACCCUGCUCAUCACCUCCUUGGACCCAUGAUUAUUUUCACCUGUCUUGAAAGUGGCUUCUCCAAAGCCCACCUGACUGUGCCCCAAGCUGCCGGAGAUUGUUUCAGUGGUUCCUCAAACGGUGAAUAAAUAUUGACUGAGCCUGUCCUUGCAGCCCUCUCCUGUCACAUGCUGCAUUUCACAGAGAAGGACUGUAUUUAUUUCAGGAAAUCUUUGGCAUUGCGCUGCACUGGCCCUGCCCACCACACUGACAGAGCCUUGAUCUCUGGCUGGAUCCCGAUACUAAGGGGUCCCCCUCUGUUGUAUAACCAUUGAGCUGUAUUUCCUCCUUGUACUCAAUCACGGUAAAUUCUGCCUUAGGACUAAUAGAGUUCUUGGUUUUGUUAAGAUGGCUCAGGCAGAAACAGAGCAAUAAAUUAUGUCUGUGAGCUUGCUGGA